This is a long non-coding RNA of Cyanistes caeruleus (blue tit), 3133 nucleotides long. RefSeq lists it as uncharacterized. The record is from RefSeq and is a predicted model, not a curated record. NCBI's taxonomy places the organism in Eukaryota, Metazoa, Chordata, Aves, Passeriformes, Paridae.
GCCACAAAUCGCACCCCCGUGGGCACGGCGCGAGGAGUUAGUCCUUUCUUUAUUUCCGUAUUUUUUUUCUUUUCUCACGUAACUUCGUUCAAUGAUUGAGUCCGCUGCCUCUGCCCGAGGUGUCGUAGUAUAAUAAAAGCCCAGGACGUUUCGACUCACAGAAUCACGAAGGUUGGAAGAGACCUUUAAGAUCAUCCAGUCCAAGCAUCCACCUGGCGCUGUAGUUCCUAAACCACAUCCCUCAGCGCCUCUUAAACACCUGCAAGGAGGGUGAUUCCACCAUGCACGAAAAGCCUAUUCCAAUGCCUGACCACUCUAACAGUGAAAUUUUUAUUUUCUAGUAUCUAAUCUGAAUCUUGCCUUAAGGGCAUGUCCCCCCGUCCUCUCACUGCAGCCACGGCAGCAGAGACUUCCCUACAGCUUCCUCUCUGUGAGUUUUGGACAGCAGUGAAGCCCCCCCAAGCCUCCUCUUCUCCAGAUGAAGCAAACCCAGCUCCCACAGCCACUUCUCACAAGACAUGUUUUCUAGUCCAUUUCCAGUUAAAGGGUUCAGAACCUCACAUUAAUUAAAGGGAACAGUCAGCUCCACGGCAGGGCAGCCCAGAAGGGGAACCAGUAGGUAAUUAGGCACAUUUCGAGCAAGUUUUACAACUUCCCAAACCCCAACCAAACCAAACAGCAGAUCCAGGAGGCUGGACCAGGGCUGUGCCGAGGCACUGUGACCCCUCUGCCUUCCCUGCUACCCACCCAGGCUGGCGCAAAUCCAGUGCCAUCAUCCCAAUGCAUCAAAUUUUCCUCUCCCUGCUCCCCUCAUGGCAAGCCUGGCCUCAGGCACUGCUCAUCUGAGAGCCCCAGGAUCUCCUGCUAACCCUGGCUGGCCCUGGAGGCUCAGCAGGAGGGGCUGCACAGGUGACACCUGGCACUGACAUUGCCACAGAGGCAAGUGGCCUCUUGGAUCAGGGGACAGGAUACAGCCGUGGAGGAGCAAGGAGAGGAAAACUGGGGGCAGAGCCCACACAUUUUAAGUUAAAAGCCUUAGCUCUGUACCCUUAUCUCAGGGUCAUGCGUGUGUGAGCACUCUGGGGAGGCAGGAAAGGCACAGUUCCAGCUGGAGUGACCCCACAGAGCCCAGGGGUUCCUUUACAUCUUGUGGGCUUCCACUAGCAAGGACUUCAAGUGACCAUCUGGAUCUGAACCUUACGAGACUACUCAGUUUGCAGCUCAGCAGUAAUGAUACCUUUAAAAAAAAGCAGCUUUGACAGGCAUAAGUGGCAUUCUUUAGCUGCUGUGUGCACGUGUGGUGGUGACAUAAGGAACACCUGCAGGGCAAAGUGAUGGUGUUUCAGUACUGCACCUUCCUAACACUUCUGCUGUGGAUUCCCAACUUCCAGCUCCGGGGAAGAGAGCAUGCAUGGCAGGAAGGCUGGAGGCACCUCCACAGGCAGAGCUGAUCUGCAGAAGGUGAAUGAUAGCAAAGCAGCAGCUCCUGGUGGGCACAGAGAGGAUUCACCCACCUCCAGCAUGAUAUGAUUCGCUGGAAAGAUUCUCCAGCCAGGAUUCUCUGGAAAGCUCAUUUUCUGCUAUAAAGGGGGAAGAAAGAAGAGAUUAGAAAAGAAAAAUGACUCAAAGAGUUGCCUUCAAAACUCCAGUAGCAGAUUGAAAUGUAAUCUCUGACUAAUUCUUCACCUCCACAGCUCAGCUCAAAUUCCUCCUAACUGUUUCCUUUACAUCAAAGACACAGAAAAUGGAAAAAAAAAAGUAAUAAUCAAAGCAGCAAAUAAAUUAUGAAAGAAAAAGGGCUUCUUAAAGUUGUGAGUGAGCCUCCAUUUGCCUAAAGAGAUCCCACAGACAGAGCCUUGCAGUUGCUUACUAAAAGAUGGGGUCACAUGGGAAGGCUCUCGGUAAAAUCCUCUGCCCCAAAACCCACAUCUAGGCUCAGAUACAGGAAGUAAACCCACAGCCUGCACUCGGUGGAAUUAGUGUUGCAAGGACAGCUAAAAGUGGAAGAAAUUCAGCUUCAUUGCCCAUACUUCCCAGUGCUUCCACACAGCAUUAAAGGUUUUGUUGCUCAGAUCUGCAGCCCAGAUAUUCCCAUUUGGAAGAACCUGAGAUUCCGGGGAUUAUAAAGGAUGCGUGGGAGUUCUAGGCAGAUCUCCAUGCUGAAGAUGAAAAAGACUCUCAUAGAAAUACUUAAUGGCCUUUGAAGCAAGAAUAAAGCAUGCAAGAUAUUUUUAGCAGCCCGCCUGCACUUGCCAACACCUGCAUCUGCUGAUGGCAGAGGCUCCCCAGGGUCGACACUCAGCACCUCUCGUUGCCACUCCACUCUGGAGAGUGAGUCAAGAAAAGUGGGGAGCACACCCUGACUAAAAGAUCCCUGAAAAAAUCACCUCUGAAAUGUGUCAAGGAUGAUGGUUCCCCUUCUGCCAACCUGUUUGUGCUUCAAAGAUGCCACCCCAGAGCACCGAAAGCUGCAUGGUGGGAAUACCCCUUAGGAUGUGAGAAGAACCACGGUGGGAUUUAUCCAUCAAGACUUCACAAGCACCCUCCUUUGCCCACCUCUUCUCUUGAUUAAGGACAUGGCAUCUCCAACUAGGUCCUCUGUUUUGGACUUCUUUCUGGAAAGCCAGAUGGUGGCUGUUGCCCCAAGACAGCAGCACUACCCAGCUAUGGAAAUGCUGAAGUGAUGCGAGUUAAAAUUUCUUUGGAACUCGCACUUCAAAGCAUCAUAAAAGUACAGAGUGGUUCAGUGUUUUGCAUGUUUGCCUACCACUCCAAAGAAUGGUUAGGAGCAGGUUGAUAAGUGGGGCUUUGUAAUUAUCCUGUGUGUUUUUCCUCUCACCCCAUCUGCCAUUAGUUUCCUUAGGAACAGGCACAUACACUGGAGUGAAGCAUUUUCCCAUGAAAAACUACCAACACCAGAUUGUGUAUGUUCUUAGGAAAUUACUUGUUUUUACUUGUUUGGUUUUUUUGACAUCAAAAAUUUGUAGUGUCUGAAUUUUCCAGUAAGAGAAACUUAAUCUUAUUGUACGAGAAUUCUCCCAGGCCAGUAAUAACAUUUCUGAAGGAACCAGUCAUGGAAAACAUGUUUCUCAGAACUGUUCUCAGGACAACAAAUUUCCUAGGCAAAUUUAAA